AUACGUAGGGGGCAAGCGUUAUCCGGAAUCACUGGGCGUAAAGGGUGCGUAGGUGGCUUAUCAAGCCAGGGGUGAAAGGCAUUGGCUCAACCAAUGUAAGCCUUUGGAACUGAUAGGCUUGAGUGCAGGAGAGGUAAGUGGAAUUCCUAGUGUAGAGGUGAAAUUCGUAGAUAUUAGGAGGAACACCAGUGGCGAAGGCGACUUACUGGACUGUAACUGACACUGAGGCACGAUAGCGUGGGGAGC
RNAcentral lists this ribosomal RNA (246 nucleotides) under uncultured bacterium. Its description in RNAcentral is "partial 16S ribosomal RNA". It matches the Rfam family "Bacterial small subunit ribosomal RNA", at positions 523 to 769 of the family's 1533-position model. The record is from RNAcentral.